Molecule: ribosomal RNA, 2772 nt
Filed under: Escherichia coli
Lineage: Bacteria; Pseudomonadati; Pseudomonadota; Gammaproteobacteria; Enterobacterales; Enterobacteriaceae
Description: bacterial LSU rRNA
Rfam family: Bacterial large subunit ribosomal RNA
Source: RNAcentral
AGCGUACACGGUGGAUGCCCUGGCAGUCAGAGGCGAUGAAGGACGUGCUAAUCUGCGAUAAGCGUCGGUAAGGUGAUAUGAACCGUUAUAACCGGCGAUUUCCGAAUGGGGAAACCCAGUGUGUUUCGACACACUAUCAUUAACUGAAUCCAUAGGUUAAUGAGGCGAACCGGGGGAACUGAAACAUCUAAGUACCCCGAGGAAAAGAAAUCAACCGAGAUUCCCCCAGUAGCGGCGAGCGAACGGGGAGCAGCCCAGAGCCUGAAUCAGUGUGUGUGUUAGUGGAAGCGUCUGGAAAGGCGCGCGAUACAGGGUGACAGCCCCGUACACAAAAAUGCACAUGCUGUGAGCUCGAUGAGUAGGGCGGGACACGUGGUAUCCUGUCUGAAUAUGGGGGGACCAUCCUCCAAGGCUAAAUACUCCUGACUGACCGAUAGUGAACCAGUACCGUGAGGGAAAGGCGAAAAGAACCCCGGCGAGGGGAGUGAAAAAGAACCUGAAACCGUGUACGUACAAGCAGUGGGAGCCUCUUUAUGGGGUGACUGCGUACCUUUUGUAUAAUGGGUCAGCGACUUAUAUUCUGUAGCAAGGUUAACCGAAUAGGGGAGCCGAAGGGAAACCGAGUCUUAACUGGGCGUUAAGUUGCAGGGUAUAGACCCGAAACCCGGUGAUCUAGCCAUGGGCAGGUUGAAGGUUGGGUAACACUAACUGGAGGACCGAACCGACUAAUGUUGAAAAAUUAGCGGAUGACUUGUGGCUGGGGGUGAAAGGCCAAUCAAACCGGGAGAUAGCUGGUUCUCCCCGAAAGCUAUUUAGGUAGCGCCUCGUGAAUUCAUCUCCGGGGGUAGAGCACUGUUUCGGCAAGGGGGUCAUCCCGACUUACCAACCCGAUGCAAACUGCGAAUACCGGAGAAUGUUAUCACGGGAGACACACGGCGGGUGCUAACGUCCGUCGUGAAGAGGGAAACAACCCAGACCGCCAGCUAAGGUCCCAAAGUCAUGGUUAAGUGGGAAACGAUGUGGGAAGGCCCAGACAGCCAGGAUGUUGGCUUAGAAGCAGCCAUCAUUUAAAGAAAGCGUAAUAGCUCACUGGUCGAGUCGGCCUGCGCGGAAGAUGUAACGGGGCUAAACCAUGCACCGAAGCUGCGGCAGCGACGCUUAUGCGUUGUUGGGUAGGGGAGCGUUCUGUAAGCCUGUGAAGGUGUGCUGUGAGGCAUGCUGGAGGUAUCAGAAGUGCGAAUGCUGACAUAAGUAACGAUAAAGCGGGUGAAAAGCCCGCUCGCCGGAAGACCAAGGGUUCCUGUCCAACGUUAAUCGGGGCAGGGUGAGUCGACCCCUAAGGCGAGGCCGAAAGGCGUAGUCGAUGGGAAACAGGUUAAUAUUCCUGUACUUGGUGUUACUGCGAAGGGGGGACGGAGAAGGCUAUGUUGGCCGGGCGACGGUUGUCCCGGUUUAAGCGUGUAGGCUGGUUUUCCAGGCAAAUCCGGAAAAUCAAGGCUGAGGCGUGAUGACGAGGCACUACGGUGCUGAAGCAACAAAUGCCCUGCUUCCAGGAAAAGCCUCUAAGCAUCAGGUAACAUCAAAUCGUACCCCAAACCGACACAGGUGGUCAGGUAGAGAAUACCAAGGCGCUUGAGAGAACUCGGGUGAAGGAACUAGGCAAAAUGGUGCCGUAACUUCGGGAGAAGGCACGCUGAUAUGUAGGUGAAGUCCCUCGCGGAUGGAGCUGAAAUCAGUCGAAGAUACCAGCUGGCUGCAACUGUUUAUUAAAAACACAGCACUGUGCAAACACGAAAGUGGACGUAUACGGUGUGACGCCUGCCCGGUGCCGGAAGGUUAAUUGAUGGGGUCAGCGCAAGCGAAGCUCUUGAUCGAAGCCCCGGUAAACGGCGGCCGUAACUAUAACGGUCCUAAGGUAGCGAAAUUCCUUGUCGGGUAAGUUCCGACCUGCACGAAUGGCGUAAUGAUGGCCAGGCUGUCUCCACCCGAGACUCAGUGAAAUUGAACUCGCUGUGAAGAUGCAGUGUACCCGCGGCAAGACGGAAAGACCCCGUGAACCUUUACUAUAGCUUGACACUGAACAUUGAGCCUUGAUGUGUAGGAUAGGUGGGAGGCUUUGAAGUGUGGACGCCAGUCUGCAUGGAGCCGACCUUGAAAUACCACCCUUUAAUGUUUGAUGUUCUAACGUUGACCCGUAAUCCGGGUUGCGGACAGUGUCUGGUGGGUAGUUUGACUGGGGCGGUCUCCUCCUAAAGAGUAACGGAGGAGCACGAAGGUUGGCUAAUCCUGGUCGGACAUCAGGAGGUUAGUGCAAUGGCAUAAGCCAGCUUGACUGCGAGCGUGACGGCGCGAGCAGGUGCGAAAGCAGGUCAUAGUGAUCCGGUGGUUCUGAAUGGAAGGGCCAUCGCUCAACGGAUAAAAGGUACUCCGGGGAUAACAGGCUGAUACCGCCCAAGAGUUCAUAUCGACGGCGGUGUUUGGCACCUCGAUGUCGGCUCAUCACAUCCUGGGGCUGAAGUAGGUCCCAAGGGUAUGGCUGUUCGCCAUUUAAAGUGGUACGCGAGCUGGGUUUAGAACGUCGUGAGACAGUUCGGUCCCUAUCUGCCGUGGGCGCUGGAGAACUGAGGGGGGCUGCUCCUAGUACGAGAGGACCGGAGUGGACGCAUCACUGGUGUUCGGGUUGUCAUGCCAAUGGCACUGCCCGGUAGCUAAAUGCGGAAGAGAUAAGUGCUGAAAGCAUCUAAGCACGAAACUUGCCCCGAGAUGAGUUCU